CUCAGGUUGGGGUGGGGCGGAGGCCCUGGCACCCAGCAGGAACAAACCUCCGUCCGCUAAUCCAGAAAAAAAUAAAAACCCCUGCCUCCCCCAACCAAGAUCUCCAGGCUUUUGAUGGGAAACAAGAAAAUCUGAGAGAAAGACUCAGAGGGAGCUACGGAAGUUAAGCCUAGCCCCGGGAAACGAGUUCCUCCUGGGUGUAGACACGCCUUUGCCGAGCUGUGCAGAGUGACCCGCACCAAACGAACACGGCUGCAUCCCAGCCCCUCGGUCCUCAGUCCCCGGCUGGGCCCACGCGCGAGGGGUGUGGGUCCCCUCUACUACAGCCAGUGGCACCGUCAAGACCCCUGCACACGCCCUGGAGUUGGGGACAGCCAAGCACCAGGGACCAAGGUGCCAGCCACGCCAGACCCUGCUAAUGCAGAAAUGGAGAACGAAUCAAGCUGCAAAGCCAGGCCCGCACCCUUUGCUGGGAGAAGGAGCGCUGGGUGCCCUGGAGCUGGGGAAGCCACACAGGCAGGCGCCGAGAGCUGGCACAGCUGCAGCCCAGUGACAGACAGGAAAGUGUCAAGCAAGGCGAAGCCCAAGUGUGAAAACUGCGCCUCGCCUGCUUGCCUGCCUUGCUAGCCCAGGUCCCAGGACACCGACACCGAGG
Molecule: long non-coding RNA, 655 nt
Filed under: Heterocephalus glaber (naked mole-rat)
Lineage: Eukaryota; Metazoa; Chordata; Mammalia; Rodentia; Bathyergidae
Description: lncRNA (ENSHGLG00000050125.1)
Source: RNAcentral